GGAGGCAGUGGCGGUACCA
Molecule: unclassified non-coding RNA, 19 nt
Filed under: Chlamydomonas reinhardtii
Lineage: Eukaryota; Viridiplantae; Chlorophyta; Chlorophyceae; Chlamydomonadales; Chlamydomonadaceae
Description: small RNA Cre_1824
Source: RNAcentral